Molecule: unclassified non-coding RNA, 354 nt
Filed under: soil metagenome
Description: partial contains 5.8S ribosomal RNA, internal transcribed spacer 2, and large subunit ribosomal RNA
Rfam family: 5.8S ribosomal RNA (bases 3-121)
Source: RNAcentral
GAAUGAAGAACGUAGCGAAAUGCGAUAAGUAAUGUGAAUUGCAGAAUUCAGUGAAUCAUCGAAUCUUUGAACGCACAUUGCGCCCGCCAGUAUUCUGGUGGGCAUGCCUGUUCGAGCGUCAUUACAACCCUCAGGCCCCCGGGCCUGGCGUUGGGGAUCGGCGGAAGCCCCCUGCGGGCACAACGCCGCCCCCCAAAUACAGUGGCGGUCCCGCCGCAGCUUCCAUUGCGUAGUAGCUAACACCUCGCAACUGGAGAGCGGCGCGGCCACGCCGUAAAACACCCAACUUCUGAAUGUUGACCUCGAAUCAGGUAGGAAUACCCGCUGAACUUAAGCAUAUCAAUAAGCGGAGGA